GACGAACGCUGGCGGCGUGCCUAAUACAUGCAAGUUGAGCGAUGAAGGUUGGUGCUUGCACCAAUUUGAAGAGCAGCGAACGGGUGAGUAACGCGUGGGGAAUCUGCCUUUGAGCGGGGGACAACAUUUGGAAACGAAUGCUAAUACCGCAUAAUAACUUUAAACAUAAGUUUUAAGUUUGAAAGAUGCAAUUGCAUCACUCAAAGAUGAUCCCGCGUUGUAUUAGCUAGUUGGUGAGGUAAAGGCUCACCAAGGCGAUGAUACAUAGCCGACCUGAGAGGGUGAUCGGCCACAUUGGGACUGAGACACGGCCCAAACUCCUACGGGAGGCAGCAGUAGGGAAUCUUCGGCAAUGGACGAAAGUCUGACCGAGCAACGCCGCGUGAGUGAAGAAGGUUUUCGGAUCGUAAAACUCUGUUGGUAGAGAAGAACGUUGGUGAGAGUGGAAAGCUCAUCAAGUGACGGUAACUACCCAGAAAGGGACGGCUAACUACGUG
RNAcentral lists this ribosomal RNA (497 nucleotides) under uncultured bacterium. Its description in RNAcentral is "partial 16S ribosomal RNA". It matches the Rfam family "Bacterial small subunit ribosomal RNA", at positions 28 to 507 of the family's 1533-position model. The record is from RNAcentral.